RNAcentral lists this ribosomal RNA (1014 nucleotides) under Oenococcus oeni. Its description in RNAcentral is "bacterial LSU rRNA". It matches the Rfam family "Bacterial large subunit ribosomal RNA", at positions 1911 to 2925 of the family's 2925-position model. The record is from RNAcentral. Lineage: Bacteria; Bacillati; Bacillota; Bacilli; Lactobacillales; Lactobacillaceae.
AUUGAAGCCCCAGUGAACGGCGGCCGUAACUAUAACGGUCCUAAGGUAGCGAAAUUCCUUGUCGGGUAAGUUCCGACCCGCAUGAAAGGCGUAAUGAUUUGGGCGCUGUCUCAACAAUAGACUCGGUGAAAUUUAAAUUCCAGUGAAGAUGCUGGGUACCCGCGACAGGACGGAAAGACCCCGUGGAGCUUUACUGUAGCUUGAUAUUGAAUGUUUGUGCUGCAUGUGCAGGAUAGGUAGGAGACUUUGAAGUCGGAACGCUAGUUUCGAUUGAGUCACCCUUGAGAUACUACCUCUGUUGUAUGAACGUUCUAACUCUGAUCAGUUAUCCUGAUCGAAGACAGUGUCUGGCAGGCAGUUUGACUGGGGCGGUCGCCUCCUAAAAGAUAACGGAGGCGCUCAAAGGUUUGCUCAGAAUGGUUGGAAAUCAUUCGUAGCGUGUAAAGGCAUAAGCAAGCUUGACUGUGAGACUGACAAGUCGAGCAGGUACGAAAGUAGGACUUAGUGAUCCGGUGGUUCCGUAUGGAAGGGCCAUCGCUCAACGGACAAAAGCUACCCCGGGGAUAACAGGCUCAUCUCCCCCAAGAGUCCACAUCGACGGGGAGGUUUGGCACCUCGAUGUCGGCUCAUCGCAUCCUGGGGCUGUAGUCGGUCCCAAGGGUUGGGCUGUUCGCCCAUUAAAGCGGUACGCGAGCUGGGUUCAGAACGUCGUGAGACAGUUCGGUCCCUAUCCGUCGUGGGCGCAGGAAAUUUGAGAGGAUCUGUCCUUAGUACGAGAGGACCGGGAUGGACAUACCUCUGGUGUACCAGUUGUUCUGCCAAGAGCACCGCUGGGUAGCUACGUAUGGAUUAGAUAAUCGCUGAAAGCAUCUAAGUGAGAAACUAACCUCGAGAUGAGAUUUCCCAUUCGUCAGAAGUAAGACCCCUGAGAGACGAUCAGGUAGAUAGGCUAGAAGUGGAAGUGUAGUGAUGCAUGGAGCGGACUAGUACUAAUAGGUCGAGGACUUAACCAAG